Molecule: ribosomal RNA, 253 nt
Filed under: uncultured bacterium
Lineage: Bacteria
Description: partial 16S ribosomal RNA
Rfam family: Bacterial small subunit ribosomal RNA
Source: RNAcentral
UACGGAGAGGGCAAGCAUUAAUCGGAAUUAUUGGGCGUAAAGGGCGCGUAGGCGGGUUAUUAAGUCAGAUGUGGAAUUCCAAGGCUCAACUUUGGAGCUGCAUUUGAAACUGAUAGUCUCGAGGGAUGACGGAGAAAACGGAAUUCCACGUGUAGCGGUGAAAUGCGUAGAUAUGUGGAAGAACACCUGUGGCGAAAGCGGUUUUCUAGUUGAUACCUGACGCUGAGGCGAGAGAGCAAGGGGAGCAAACAGG